RNAcentral lists this ribosomal RNA (460 nucleotides) under uncultured Treponema sp. Its description in RNAcentral is "bacterial SSU rRNA". It matches the Rfam family "Bacterial small subunit ribosomal RNA", at positions 341 to 792 of the family's 1533-position model. Lineage: Bacteria; Pseudomonadati; Spirochaetota; Spirochaetia; Treponematales; Treponemataceae. The record is from RNAcentral.
ACGGGAGGCAGCAGCUAAGAAUAUUCCGCAAUGGGGGAAACCCUGACGGAGCGACGCCGCGUGGAUGAUGAAGGCCGGAAGGUUGUAAAAUCCUUUUAUGACUGAGGAAUAAGUAAGGUGAGAGAAACGCCUUAUGGUGACUGUAGGUUAUGAAUAAGCAACGGCUAAUUACGUGCCAGCAGCCGCGGUAACACGUAAGUUGCGAGCGUUGUUCGGAAUUAUUGAGCGUAAAGGGCAUGUAGGCGGUUUUGCAAGCUUGGUGUGAAGUCCCGGAGCUUAACUCCGGAAUUGCGUUGAGAACUGCAUAACUAGAGUCACUGAGGGGCAAUCAGAAUUCCAGGUGUAGGGGUGAAAUCUGUAGAUAUCUGGAAGAAUACCAAUGGCGAAGGCAGGUUACCAGCAGAUGACUGACGCUGAGGUGCGAAGGUGCGGGGAGCAAACAGGAUUAGAUACCCUGGUA